RNAcentral lists this ribosomal RNA (407 nucleotides) under bacterium enrichment culture clone ALO1_GLFRUDD03FZ359. Its description in RNAcentral is "bacterial SSU rRNA". It matches the Rfam family "Bacterial small subunit ribosomal RNA", at positions 9 to 416 of the family's 1533-position model. The record is from RNAcentral.
GAGUUUGAUCUUGGCUCAGAUUGAACGCUGGCGGCGUGCCUUACACAUGCAAGUCGAACGGCAGCACGGGAGCUUGCUCCUGGUGGCGAGUGGCGAACGGGUGAGUAAUGCAUCGGAACGUAUCCUGGAGUGGGGGAUAACGUAGCGAAAGUUACGCUAAUACCGCAUAUUCUGUGAGCAGGAAAGCGGGGGACCUUCGGGCCUCGCGCUCUUGGAGCGGCCGAUGUCGGAUUAGCUAGUUGGUGAGGUAAAGGCUCACCAAGGCGACGAUCCGUAGCAGGUCUGAGAGGAUGAUCUGCCACACUGGAACUGAGACACGGUCCAGACUCCUACGGGAGGCAGCAGUGGGGAAUUUUGGACAAUGGGGGCAACCCUGAUCCAGCCAUGCCGCGUGAGUGAAGAAGGCC